AAUGGGUCAGCGACUUAUAUUCUGUAGCAAGGUUAACCGAAUAGGGGAGCCGAAGGGAAACCGAGUCUUAACUGGGCGUUAAGUUGCAGGGUAUAGACCCGAAACCCGGUGAUCUAGCCAUGGGCAGGUUGAAGGUUGGGUAACACUAACUGGAGGACCGAACCGACUAAUGUUGAAAAAUUAGCGGAUGACUUGUGGCUGGGGGUGAAAGGCCAAUCAAACCGGGAGAUAGCUGGUUCUCCCCGAAAGCUAUUUAGGUAGCGCCUCGUGAAUUCAUCUCCGGGGGUAGAGCACUGUUUCGGCAAGGGGGUCAUCCCGACUUACCAACCCGAUGCAAACUGCGAAUACCGGAGAAUGUUAUCACGGGAGACACACGGCGGGUGCUAACGUCCGUCGUGAAGAGGGAAACAACCCAGACCGCCAGCUAAGGUCCCAAAGUCAUGGUUAAGUGGGAAACGAUGUGGGAAGGCCCAGACAGCCAGGAUGUUGGCUUAGAAGCAGCCAUCAUUUAAAGAAAGCGUAAUAGCUCACUGGUCGAGUCGGCCUGCGCGGAAGAUGUAACGGGGCUAAACCAUGCACCGAAGCUGCGGCAGCGACGCUUAUGCGUUGUUGGGUAGGGGAGCGUUCUGUAAGCCUGUGAAGGUGUGCUGUGAGGCAUGCUGGAGGUAUCAGAAGUGCGAAUGCUGACAUAAGUAACGAUAAAGCGGGUGAAAAGCCCGCUCGCCGGAAGACCAAGGGUUCCUGUCCAACGUUAAUCGGGGCAGGGUGAGUCGACCCCUAAGGCGAGGCCGAAAGGCGUAGUCGAUGGGAAACAGGUUAAUAUUCCUGUACUUGGUGUUACUGCGAAGGGGGGACGGAGAAGGCUAUGUUGGCCGGGCGACGGUUGUCCCGGUUUAAGCGUGUAGGCUGGUUUUCCAGGCAAAUCCGGAAAAUCAAGGCUGAGGCGUGAUGACGAGGCACUACGGUGCUGAAGCAACAAAUGCCCUGCUUCCAGGAAAAGCCUCUAAGCAUCAGGUAACAUCAAAUCGUACCCCAAACCGACACAGGUGGUCAGGUAGAGAAUACCAAGGCGCUUGAGAGAACUCGGGUGAAGGAACUAGGCAAAAUGGUGCCGUAACUUCGGGAGAAGGCACGCUGAUAUGUAGGUGAAGUCCCUCGCGGAUGGAGCUGAAAUCAGUCGAAGAUACCAGCUGGCUGCAACUGUUUAUUAAAAACACAGCACUGUGCAAACACGAAAGUGGACGUAUACGGUGUGACGCCUGCCCGGUGCCGGAAGGUUAAUUGAUGGGGUUAGCGGUAACGCGAAGCUCUUGAUCGAAGCCCCGGUAAACGGCGGCCGUAACUAUAACGGUCCUAAGGUAGCGAAAUUCCUUGUCGGGUAAGUUCCGACCUGCACGAAUGGCGUAAUGAUGGCCAGGCUGUCUCCACCCGAGACUCAGUGAAAUUGAACUCGCUGUGAAGAUGCAGUGUACCCGCGGCAAGACGGAAAGACCCCGUGAACCUUUACUAUAGCUUGACACUGAACAUUGAGCCUUGAUG
RNAcentral lists this ribosomal RNA (1539 nucleotides) under Escherichia coli. RNAcentral's name for it is "partial 23S ribosomal RNA". It matches the Rfam family "Bacterial large subunit ribosomal RNA", at positions 614 to 2136 of the family's 2925-position model. Lineage: Bacteria; Pseudomonadati; Pseudomonadota; Gammaproteobacteria; Enterobacterales; Enterobacteriaceae. The record is from RNAcentral.